AAGGGUAUAGCUUAGGGGCAGAGCGGGUGCUUAGCACGCACAAGGUCCUAGGUUCAAUCCCCAGUACCUCCA
Transfer RNA from Camelus ferus (Wild Bactrian camel), 72 nucleotides. It matches the Rfam family "tRNA". From Rfam's summary of the family: Transfer RNA (tRNA) molecules are approximately 80 nucleotides in length. Lineage: Eukaryota; Metazoa; Chordata; Mammalia; Artiodactyla; Camelidae. The record is from Rfam.